UCUGUGUCUCAUAUUUCCAUCAUCAUUGUCACUUUCAAAUCUGUAGUUCAGCUUUAACUGAUUCAAGCAUGUUUAUUAUUUUUCUGUUCAUGUUGUCAACUGCCUGUUUCAGUAGUUCUAAUUCAUUGAGCAGGUGAUCUAGUUCCCAGGUAUCUUUUUUCAAGUUUUUGGACCCACUAAGAUAUUAUUAUUAUUAUCAUUAUUAUCAUUGUUUUGUAUGCUUUGAGUUUUUGUUUUUGACUGCUCACUGGGACUCAUGAUUGAUAGGUUACUCUAAGAAGGCAGUAUUCCCUCACAUGAUCGAGAGUUAAACAGUGUCUCUUAUCAUGGCCUCUAGACCUCUUCUGCGAAACCUGGAGGAAGCCUCUAUUUUCCUCACUUUCCCAAGUUCAAGGCUGGGAUGACUCAGCCACUUCUCCAUUGGGGGCCAGGAAUACCAGUCAGAUUAAUGAUUUAUAGCCAAUAUUCCCCUCCUCCUCUAACACUCAUCCACAAUGCUUAUAAAUAAAGCAAUUUUCCAGGGUCUCUCAUUUUACAAUCCUUAUCCCAAUGCCCCCAUGCAGAUCUCCAAGAGCUCACUGAGCUCAGGGGGAUAAAAGCCCCUCACGAAUGUUCUCUGCUGCCAUUCCCCACAAAACCAAAUUCUUCACCGAACCCAGAAGACUAUAGGCCUCGAGAGAUGCUUAACUGAAAAGAUUCAGCUGAAUCAAACUUGGACAAGGAAGAAAAGAACUAGGCUCCAGAAAGGCAGAAGCCUGUUGGAAAUUCCUAACCAGCAGAGGCCAGGUGGCUGUAAUUAACAUCACAACAUCAAGACCAGAGAGAUGUUAAACACAUGGAUUUCAGAUGUGAAUUUGCCUUUGACAUACAAUAAUCUUCAGACAUUAGGAUUAGAACAAAAACUUUGCUAUGUUUCCAUUUCAUAAAGUAAGGGCAUUAUAAAACUCUCCAACCAUUUGAAGCUCUUCUACAUAACAGAAUGAGUGAAAUUCUGUGGGUUUAGAGAUUACCAGUUGAUUUCAACAGACAAUUGAAACUAUCAUGACUACUUUAUUCAGACUGAUAUUUCUGCUACUACAUUUUACAUUCUUUACAAAUCUCAGUGCUAAAAGAUAAUGAAAACCUUUUAGUAAAGCAUUCUUUAACUUCUCCAUGCCGAAUUUCAUAAUAAUAACCUGUAGGUUUGAACUCAGAGCUCAGGCUUCCUUUACCUCCCCCGAUGUGCCAUUUUCAUUUCCUGUGCCUAUUUUGUUAACCUGUCCGGAGUUAUGAAACAGAUAACAUAGAAGAGCUGAGCAUUAAUAAUCCAUUUUCACAGAUGUCAUUCUCUCUGCUUCAUUAGCAGACUUGAUCCCGUACAGCUUUCUAUAGAUGGGCCUGAAAAAUCUACCUCAAUGAAUUAGACACAAUAUGAACUCUGUCUUGGGGGUAAAAAGUGCAUAUGUUCUCCAAAAGGUACUCAUCUAGUUCUUUUCCAUUUUCACAUUUACAAGUAUUAAAUUAUCUGACUUUCAAGGUGACACCUUUGGAUCUGAGAAAAUCAGAGUGGUAGAUAAUGGAAAUAAAUCUUCAAAGACACUGGGCCAAGACAUAUGAGCCAGACUUGUAAAGGGAUUGUUUCAGGUGAUAACUAGGAAGAUACCAAGAGCAGAGUUCACCUAAUUCACCAUUUUUCUUACAGAAUUAGUAGUUAUUAAUAACUAUUAGUACAGCAAGUCCCUCAAAGAGGAUGGAAAUAUUAUACACAAUUCUUUGAUCCCAAAUAAACACUUUGCCUCUUAAACUGUUUUCUAUUUUUGUAGGUUCACACACCUAAUUCCCAUUUUUCUGAAACCAGUGGUGGUUAUUAAUGACUAUGAGUACAGCAACAAGUCCCUUAGAGAGGAUGGAAAUAUUAUACCCAGGAAUUCAGUGAUGUGAUGAAAUGAACACAAACAUGUUGAUGAAGGCAGAAGACUCAGGGAAACAAUUUACAUGUGGCUCUUACAUAGAUGCUCAAAGGCCACCAGACAUCCCAUCUACAGCAGGGUGCCCUCGUAUACUGACAGUUUCAGCUUAUACAAACCAGUCUGACCACACGGUGUAUUCACUCGACCACUGGGACAAGAACAAGUAUACUAGUUAAGCGGGCAGACUUCUCCUGGAUUGGAAUUGCAGUUCCUAAAUUCAAAUUUAACUCUGAGGGUAUACCCCUUUCCAACAUGCCUGAGAACACAGACUAAUCAAAUCCAUAUAUCUCCUAACUUAAGGGAGACUCUGCUAACAACUUUGCAAAUACUGCUUUUUACAAAUCUUAAAAGUCAAGUUUAACAGUAAAAUUAAAUGCAUACUCAUGGGAGAUGCUGAUGGGCAAAAUGAUAAUGAGAUUGCCUGUAGGCCACCUCCUGAUGGAAAGUUUUUAAUGCUUCUGUUUGGCUUUACAAGUGUUUUGUUAAAGCCUAUUCCAUUUCUCUUACAUUGUUUUUGUGGGAUUUUUUUGAAGAUGGUGAUGAAAAAGAAUAAGGGCAGUAUAGCAAUUAUGUAUUACAUGAGAUUACUUGAUGUUUCAUUAGAUACCAUCUUAGUAAUACCAGAAUGUAUAUUUAAAAGAGCAUUGCUUUUUAGUGCCCUAUUAAUCUGAUUUGAAUUCAAAUCCCACCACUGCUAGCUAUGCGACCUUCGACAAAUGCUUACCUUCUCGGACCCUCUGUGUCCUCAUUUGCAUAAACAUGGAAUCACAUGGAAUUAGUUCAGAAAGAAUUAAAUAAAACUAGUGCGGUAGGUGGCAAAAUGUCAGUUCUGACUUCCCGUUGCUGUAUUUCCUCUGUAUUACCAUUGUUAGAAUCCAACAAUGUU
This 2835-nucleotide long non-coding RNA is filed under the name Equus caballus (horse). Its description in RNAcentral is "lncRNA (ENSECAG00000054619.1)". Lineage: Eukaryota; Metazoa; Chordata; Mammalia; Perissodactyla; Equidae. The record is from RNAcentral.